RNAcentral lists this ribosomal RNA (368 nucleotides) under uncultured organism. Its description in RNAcentral is "bacterial SSU rRNA". It matches the Rfam family "Bacterial small subunit ribosomal RNA", at positions 526 to 896 of the family's 1533-position model. The record is from RNAcentral.
CGAAGGACCCAAGCGUUAUCCGGAUUUAUUGGGUUUAAAGGGUGCGUAGGCGGAUUAUUAAGUCAGUGGUGAAAGCCUUCAGCUUAACUGAAGAAUUGCCAUUGAUACUGAUGAUCUUGAGUAUGAUUGAGGUGGGCGGAAUGUGUCAUGUAGCGGUGAAAUGCUUAGAUAUGACACAGAACACCGAUUGCGAAGGCAACUCACUAAGCCAUAACUGACGCUGGUGCACGAAAGCGUGGGGAGCAAACAGGAUUAGAUACCCUGGUAGUCCACGCCCUAAACGAUGAUCACUCGAUGUGUGCGAUACACUGUACGCGUCUGAGCGAAAGCAUUAAGUGAUCCACCUGGGGAGUACGACCGCAAGGUUG